UACGUAGGGUGCAAGCGUUAAUCGGAAUUACUGGGCGUAAAGCGUGCGCAGGCGGCUUUGCAAGACAGAUGUGAAAUCCCCGGGCUUAACCUGGGAACUGCAUUUGUGACUGCAUGGCUGGAGUGCGGCAGAGGGGGAUGGAAUUCCGCGUGUAGCAGUGAAAUGCGUAGAUAUGCGGAGGAACACCGAUGGCGAAGGCAGCCCCCUGGGCCGACAUUGACGCUCAGGCACGAAAGCGUGGGGAGCAAACAGG
This 253-nucleotide ribosomal RNA is filed under the name uncultured bacterium. RNAcentral describes it as "partial 16S ribosomal RNA". It matches the Rfam family "Bacterial small subunit ribosomal RNA", at positions 524 to 776 of the family's 1533-position model. The record is from RNAcentral.